This 712-nucleotide long non-coding RNA is filed under the name Gossypium raimondii (Peruvian cotton). RNAcentral describes it as "long non-coding RNA (GRAI_LNC011010)". The record is from RNAcentral. Lineage: Eukaryota; Viridiplantae; Streptophyta; Magnoliopsida; Malvales; Malvaceae.
ACAAAACCCGAGUGACCGUUGCCUAUCAUCGAUCGUCUCUCCAGCAACUCAGACCGUUUCCCACCGCUGGGAUCCCUCAAGUACUCUCUGGAUGUCUUCAAGUUCGUGGUUUGCCAAAUAUUAGUGACUUUUAUUGUUGUUUUGGUUGUAAUCUGGUUUGGUUUGAAUAGGGAAAGUUUUGGGGUUUGCAAGUAGUGGUUUCUUCUGAUGAUGGUUGCCAUGGUGGAGGAGAAGCUAGAUGGGUUUGAAUGAGUUCGAAUGUGUGGGGACGAGUAAGUUAGAUUAACAAGGAAGAAGAUGGAGCUUGGGACAAUGAGUAGAUGGUGAUACAAUGAUGGCAGAGAAGAAGGAGGGGGAAAAAAAGCCGGUGGAGGUCGGCGAUUAGCGGCGGCUAGGGCUUCAAUUUGGGAAGGAGGAGAAGAAAAAAAAGAAAAAGAAAGGAAAAUAAAGAAAAAAGACAAAAGGUGAAGGAUUAGUCACUAAUUUAAUAUUAAAAAAGAAAAAAAUAAAUAUAUUUUUUAGAUACGUCAGAUAAACAUGACCCACUAACGUCACUUAACACUAGGGUAAUUAUUUUAUUAAAUAAUAUAAUAUUGUUAUUUAUAUCUAAUGUAAUGUUUAUAUAUAUUUUAAUAAAUAUUUUUAAAAUAUACAAUUUUAGUUAUAGAAUAUAUAAAUAAUAAAUAAAAACAGACAAAUCUCAAAAUUAUGC